Molecule: ribosomal RNA, 492 nt
Filed under: uncultured bacterium
Lineage: Bacteria
Description: partial 16S ribosomal RNA
Rfam family: Bacterial small subunit ribosomal RNA
Source: RNAcentral
AGUGAACGCUGGCGGUAGGCCUAACACAUGCAAGUCGAACGGCAGCACAGUAAGAGCUUGCUCUUACGGGUGGCGAGUGGCGGACGGGUGAGGAAUACAUCGGAAUCUACUUUUUCGUGGGGGAUAACGUAGGGAAACUUACGCUAAUACCGCAUACGACCUACGGGUGAAAGCAGGGGAUCUUCGGACCUUGCGCGAUUGAAUGAGCCGAUGUCGGAUUAGCUAGUUGGCGGGGUAAAGGCCCACCAAGGCGACGAUCCGUAGCUGGUCUGAGAGGAUGAUCAGCCUCACUGGAACUGAGACACGGUCCAGACUCCUACGGGAGGCAGCAGUGGUGAAUAUUGGACAAUGGGCGCAAGCCUGAUCCAGCCAUACCGCGUGGGUGAAGAAGGCCUUCGGGUUGUAAAGCCCUUUUGUUGGGAAAGAAAAGCAGCAGGUUAAUACCCCGCUGUUCUGACGGUACCCAAAGAAUAAGCACCGGCUAACUUCGUG